This 261-nucleotide long non-coding RNA is filed under the name Elaeis guineensis (African oil palm). Its description in RNAcentral is "long non-coding RNA (EGUI_LNC074881)". The record is from RNAcentral. Lineage: Eukaryota; Viridiplantae; Streptophyta; Magnoliopsida; Arecales; Arecaceae.
GGGUGGCCACCUUUUAUAUGGUAGACUAGGUCAUAAGACCUAGUCUAACAAGGAGUCCUUGGGGUGUCCAAGAGUAAUUUUUGACUCCUAUAUCAUGGAAUAUGGGGCGGCCUCCUUUUAUAUGGCAGACUAGGUCAUAAGACCUAGUCUAACAAGGAGUCCUUGGGGCAUCCAACUCUUGGACGCCCCCUAUCUCAUUUAUUUCAUGGAUAGUAUGAAAAUAACCAUAAAAGGAGCAAUAAAAAGGAGGAUAAACAUGGG